UACGUAGGGUGCAAGCGUUAAUCGGAAUUACUGGGCGUAAAGCGUGCGCAGGCGGUUUUGUAAGACAGAGGUGAAAUCCCCGGGCUCAACCUGGGAACUGCCUUUGUGACUGCAAGGCUAGAGUACGGCAGAGGGGGGUGGAAUUCCGCGUGUAGCAGUGAAAUGCGUAGAUAUGCGGAGGAACACCGAUGGCGAAGGCAACCCCCUGGGUCUGUACUGACGCUCAUGCACGAAAGCGUGGGGAGCAAAAAGG
RNAcentral lists this ribosomal RNA (253 nucleotides) under uncultured Comamonadaceae bacterium. RNAcentral describes it as "partial 16S ribosomal RNA". It matches the Rfam family "Bacterial small subunit ribosomal RNA", at positions 524 to 776 of the family's 1533-position model. Lineage: Bacteria; Pseudomonadati; Pseudomonadota; Betaproteobacteria; Burkholderiales; Comamonadaceae. The record is from RNAcentral.